Candidatus Buchananbacteria bacterium is the source of this 157-nucleotide non-coding RNA. The record is from Rfam. Lineage: Bacteria; Candidatus Buchananiibacteriota.
AAUAUCCUUCGGGGUCGGGUGAAAGUCCCAAUCGGUGGUAAAGCCCACGAGCCCAUAGCCGGGCAUGAUCUGGUGUAAUUCCAGAGCCGACCGUAUGCCGAUGUAAAAUCGGCAUCCUGAUUCUAUAUCGGGAAAGUCGGGAUGAAAGAAGGUAAUU